This 531-nucleotide ribosomal RNA is filed under the name uncultured bacterium. RNAcentral's name for it is "bacterial SSU rRNA". It matches the Rfam family "Archaeal small subunit ribosomal RNA", at positions 728 to 1250 of the family's 1478-position model. The record is from RNAcentral.
AAUAGAUACCCCGGUAGUCCCAGCUGUAAACGAUGCAGACUCGGUGAUGCAUUGGCUUGUGGCCAAUGCAGUGCCGCAGGGAAGCCGUUAAGUCUGCCGCCUGGGAAGUACGUACGCAAGUAUGAAACUUAAAGGAAUUGGCGGGGGAGCACCACAAGGGGGUGAAGCCUGCGGUUCAAUUGGAGUCAACGCCAGAAAUCUUACCCGGAGCGACAGCAGAAUGAAGGUCAAGCUGAAGACUUUACCAGACAAGCUGAGAGGAGGUGCAUGGCCGUCGCCAGCUCGUGCCGUGAGGUGUCCUGUUAAGUCAGGUAACGAGCAAGAUCCCUGCCUCUAGUUGCUACUGCUGGUCUCCGGACUAGCAGGGCUAAUUAGAGGGACCGCCGCCGCUGAGGCGGAGGAAGGAGGGGGCUACGGGCAGGUCAGUAUGCCCCCGAAACUUCCGGGCCACACGCGGGCUGCAAUGGUAAGGACAACGGGCUCCGAUCCCGGAAAGGGGGAGGCAACUCCCACAAACCCUUACCUCAGUUA